This 861-nucleotide ribosomal RNA is filed under the name Triticum aestivum (bread wheat). RNAcentral's name for it is "partial small subunit ribosomal RNA". The record is from RNAcentral. Lineage: Eukaryota; Viridiplantae; Streptophyta; Magnoliopsida; Poales; Poaceae.
AUGUAUGGAGAAUCAGCGUCGGAGAGGAAGGGAGAGACAUGGAGGACUCUGAGGAUUUUAGAACAGCAACACCAAGAUGGAAGACCCUGGCUUUGCCUUGGAGACUUUAAUGAAAUUCUGUCAAACGAUGAGAAGAGAGGAGGGGUAGACAGACCGCAACAGGCCAUGGAUAAAUUCAGAGAUGCACUGUGUGAUUGUUCGCUGAUGGAUAUUGGAUUCGAGGGUGAUAUCUUUACAUGGUGCAACCAUGACAUUUGCGAACGGUUGGACAGAGCCACAACAAACCGGGAAUGGUGUGAUCUAUUCCCGAGCUUCAGGGUAGUAAAUGGUUCACCUCGACAUACUGAUCACAGGCCCAUUAUUGUUUGGACAGAGGGAGAGCACAGGCGUGGUAGAGGGGGCGGUGAUAGUGGAUUCAGAUUUGAGGCACAUUGGUUCCAGGAGGAAGGUUGUCAAGAGUUAAUUCAGGAGGCAUGGGAGGAAAGUAGGGAGCAAGGAGGGGUGGAUGUCGCCGGAUCAAUGCGUUUUCUCGCGGGUAAACUUCGCAAAUGGGACAGGGAGGUACUAGGGGAGUUGGAAGGAAGGCUGAAGAAAGCGAAGGCUGAUUUAGAAAGGUGUAUGAGGGAGACGGUGACGGAAGAGAAGAUUAAAGAAGAGGCGGAGUUGAGGUGUCAAGUUCAGAGGUUGGAGGAGAAGAAAUACACAAAAUACAAACAGAGAGCGCAUGUGUGGUGGCUUAGAAGAGGAGAUAGGAGCACACGGUAUCUUAGCGAAGGCUUCGGCACGACGCCGGAUAAAUACAAUAAAGGAGUUAAGAAGGGAGGAUGGGUCAGUAGUAGAGGAGGGAGAGGAACUCUCUAA